GACGAACGCUGGCGGCGUGCUUAACACAUGCAAGUCGAACGGAAAGGCCCUGCUUUUGUGGGUUGCUCGAGUGGCGACCGGGUGAGUAACACGUGAGUAACCUGCCCUUUCCUUUGGGAUAACUUCAGGCAACUGUGGCUAUUACCGGAUAGGAGCUCCUGCUGCAUGUUGGGGGUUGGAAAGUUUCGGCGGUUGGGGAUGUACUCGCGGCUUAUCAGCUUGUUGGUGGGGCAGUGUCUUACCAAGGCUUUGACGGGUAGCCGGGCUGAGAGGGUGACCGGCAACAAUGGGACGGAGAUACGGCACAGACUACUACGGGAGGCAGCAGUGGGGAAGAUUGCAAAAUGGGAGGAAGGAUGAAGCAGAAAAGCAGCGGGGGGGAUGACGGCCUUCGGGGUGGAAAACGAAGUAGCCUGUGAAGAAGAGUGAGUGACGGUAAUGGGAAAAGAAGCACCGGCUAACUACGUG
RNAcentral lists this ribosomal RNA (468 nucleotides) under uncultured bacterium. RNAcentral's name for it is "partial 16S ribosomal RNA". It matches the Rfam family "Bacterial small subunit ribosomal RNA", at positions 28 to 507 of the family's 1533-position model. The record is from RNAcentral.